This 253-nucleotide ribosomal RNA is filed under the name uncultured bacterium. RNAcentral's name for it is "partial 16S ribosomal RNA". It matches the Rfam family "Bacterial small subunit ribosomal RNA", at positions 524 to 776 of the family's 1533-position model. The record is from RNAcentral.
UACGUAGGGCGCAAGCGCUGUCCGGAAUUAUUGGGCGUAAAGAGCUCGUAGGCGGCUUGUCACGUCGGAUGUGAAAGCCCGGGGCUUAACCCCGGGUCUGCAUUCGAUACGGGCUAGCUAGAGUGUGGUAGGGGAGACUGGAAUUCCUGGUGUAGCGGUGAAAUGCGCAGAUAUCAGGAGGAACACCGGUGGCGAAGGCGGGUCUCUGGGCCGUAACUGACGCUGAGGAGCGAAAGCGUGGGGAGCAAACAGG